AGAGAAGGGAGAAGGAACAUUCCAUUGGCAGCGCCUCUUCGGUUCCAGGCCCUUUACACACUUGAGAUACUCCUCGCAGUUGCCUGAUGAGUAAUGUAAUGCUCCCAUUCCUGUGAAUCACAUAAUAUUCCCAUUUUACAGGUGAGGAGAGAGGCUCAAGAGUAAACCCCAGGAGAUCGUGGAGCUUGGAUUCUCACCCUGCUCCUCUGACUCAAAGCAGCAGUUCCCAGUGUGCUCCCAUGGCCCUUAAGGAAAAACUGGAGACUGAUGCUUAUAGGGAGAUAAAUGAAGCAAACCAGGACAUGUUCAUGGACAUGGGAGACCAUGCUCAUUUGGAAAGAGCUCCAUGGUAUAUUGUUAACAGAUGAGGAAGCAGGCCUCACCAGAGGUGAGCAGUGCGUCAGAGAAGGGAGAGGUCACCAGCACCAGGUGUUCAGCCAUGGCGUCCCUAUGUGUUCCGGGCAAGCUGCCUUUAUUUAUCUCACACUUUUUCUAACAACUUCCUUCCAAGGGCAUUCUCAGAUCUUACAACUUCCUUCCAAGGGCAUUUUCAGCAAAGACCACACCCACACUCCCAGUUUCUGGGGCUAAGGGCAUGGUGUCCCUUAAGUUUCCAAAGCAUGAAUUUCCUUAUCUGUAAAAUGGAUUUGUUGUUGUUCAGUUGCUCAGUUGUGUCUGAGUCUUUGCAGCCCCAUACACUGCAGCAUGCCAGGCUUCCCUAUCCUGCACUAUCUUCUGGAGUUUGUUCAAACUCAUGUCCAUUGAGUCAGUGAUGCCACCCAACCAUCUCAUCCUCUGUCGUCCCCUUCUCCUCCUGCCUUCAAUCUUUCCCAGCAUCGGGACCUUUUCCAGUGAGUUGGUUCUUCACAUCAUGUGGCCAAAGUAUUGGAGCUUCAGCAUCAGUCUUUCCAAUGAAUGUUCAAGACUGAUUGCCUUUAGGAUUGACUGGUUUGAUCUCCUUGCAGUCCAAGGGACUCUCAAGAGUCUUCUCCAACAACACAGUUCGAAAGCAUUGAAUGAAAGUAAAAUGGUGAGGGUUAAGAAAACAUUGUUGGUUAAUAGCACUUUGCCAGGUAUGUUCACACAUAGUCUCAUUAAGUCCAAACAAUAAAUUCAUGAAGUAGAUCUUUCAUUCAACUCAGUCAAUAUUGAAUGCGUACUAUGUUCUAAGUAGCUUUAGCCACAGUGAUGCCUCAUGGAGCUUACAUAGUGGGAAGAGACUAUAAAAACAUGAACCACUAAAUAAGGCAGUUUCAAAUUGUGAUAGAUGAUGUAACAAAUGUGAACAAGAGCUAAGGGAAGGUGUUUAGGUUUCUACCUGGAUACAGAUUGUAUAAAUUCAUAGUAUAAGAG
Bos taurus (domestic cattle) is the source of this 1353-nucleotide long non-coding RNA. Lineage: Eukaryota; Metazoa; Chordata; Mammalia; Artiodactyla; Bovidae. The record is from Ensembl.